AAGGCCUGGGGCACACAUCAAGAACACAAGGUGGUGGGGGUGUUGCCUGACCACCCCCAAAAGCUGCACACCAACCCUCUACCCCAUGCGAAUCUUUGAGCCUCUGGCACUUUGUAUCUCAGCUGAAGAAGCCUUCAGUGGAAACUGUCUCCAGUGGGCAGGUGUUGGAGAACCCGCCCUCUUCAGGUGAAGAGUUUGGGCAUCUGGCUGCACUAUCCUCCAAGUGGCACCCAAAACCUGCACUGGGAACAUGGGCCCUGACCUGGUGGACAUCACCACCUGGUGACAGAGUGCCAGGCGCAUUCCAUCCAGAUGAGGAAGAUGAAGGAGACUGCGUCAGAAAGUGCUGCCAGUCAGCAAUCAAUUCCACCACUUCACUAUCAAGUUCUUUCUGCCCCACCAGUCCUGCCAUGCCAGCAUGAGCCACACUUUGUUAACAAGAAACCCAAUACCUUC
This 456-nucleotide long non-coding RNA is filed under the name Homo sapiens (human). RNAcentral describes it as "non-protein coding lnc-OGDH-1:1". Lineage: Eukaryota; Metazoa; Chordata; Mammalia; Primates; Hominidae. The record is from RNAcentral.